RNAcentral lists this ribosomal RNA (253 nucleotides) under uncultured bacterium. RNAcentral describes it as "partial 16S ribosomal RNA". It matches the Rfam family "Bacterial small subunit ribosomal RNA", at positions 524 to 776 of the family's 1533-position model. The record is from RNAcentral.
UACGAAGGGGGCUAGCGUUGUUCGGAAUUACUGGGCGUAAAGCGUGCGCAGGCGGUUUUGUAAGCCAGAUGUGAAAUCCCCGGGCUCAACCUGGGAAUGGCAUUUGGGACUGCAAGGCUGGAGUGUGGCAGAGGAGACUGGAAUUCCUGGUGUAGCAGUGAAAUGCGUAGAUAUCAGGAGGAACACCGAUGGCGAAGGCAGGUCUCUGGGCUGACACUGACGCUCAUGCACGAAAGCGUGGGGAGCAAACAGG